Molecule: ribosomal RNA, 332 nt
Filed under: uncultured bacterium
Lineage: Bacteria
Description: bacterial SSU rRNA
Rfam family: Bacterial small subunit ribosomal RNA
Source: RNAcentral
CAGGUAGGCGGCCGCGUGUGUCCUUUGUGAAAGCCCUCGGCUCAACCGGGGAAUGGCAGGGGAAACUACGUGGCUUGAGUCCGGGAGAGGAGAGUGGAAUUCCCAGUGUAGCGGUGAAAUGCGUAGAUAUUGGGAGGAACACCGGUGGCGAAGGCGGCUCUCUGGACCGGUACUGACGCUGAGCUGCGAAAGCUAGGGGAGCAAACGGGAUUAGAUACCCCGGUAGUCCUAGCUGUAAACGAUGAGCACUGGGUGUGGCGGGUAUCGACCCCCGCCGUGCCGAAGCUAACGCAUUAAGUGCUCCGCCUGGGGAGUACGGUCGCAAGGCUGAA